RNAcentral lists this transfer RNA (74 nucleotides) under Pseudomonadales bacterium. Its description in RNAcentral is "tRNA-Cys". It matches the Rfam family "tRNA". Rfam says of the family: Transfer RNA (tRNA) molecules are approximately 80 nucleotides in length. Their secondary structure includes four short double-helical elements and three loops (D, anti-codon, and T loops). Further hydrogen bonds mediate the characteristic L-shaped molecular structure. tRNAs have two regions of fundamental functional importance: the anti-codon, which is responsible for specific mRNA codon recognition, and the 3' end, to which the tRNAs corresponding amino acid is attached (by aminoacyl-tRNA synthetases). tRNAs cope with the degeneracy of the genetic code in two manners: having more than one tRNA (with a specific anti-codon) for a particular amino acid; and 'wobble' base-pairing, i.e. permitting non-standard base-pairing at the 3rd anti-codon position. RNAcentral also lists the same sequence under 6 other names. The record is from RNAcentral. Lineage: Bacteria; Pseudomonadati; Pseudomonadota; Gammaproteobacteria; Pseudomonadales.
GGCCGAAUGGCAGAGUGGUUAUGCACCGGAUUGCAAAUCCGCUAACCCCGGUUCGAUUCCGGGUUCGGCCUCCA